This 402-nucleotide ribosomal RNA is filed under the name uncultured bacterium. RNAcentral's name for it is "bacterial SSU rRNA". It matches the Rfam family "Bacterial small subunit ribosomal RNA", at positions 355 to 774 of the family's 1533-position model. The record is from RNAcentral.
UAGGGAAUAUUGGUAACGUGCGAAAGCGCGAACCAGCAACGCCGCGUGCACGAUGAAGGCCUUCGGGUCGUAAAGUGCUUUUAGAGAGGAUGAGGAAGGACAGUACUUUCUGAAUAAGCCUCGGCUAACUACGUGCCAGCAGCCGCGGUAAAACGUAGGAGGCUAGCGUUAUCCGGAUUUACUGGGCGUAAAGCGCAUGCAGGUGGUUUUGUAAGUUGGAUGUGAAAGCUCCUGGCUUAACUGGGAGAGGUCGUUCAAAACCACAAGACUUGAGAUUGGUAGAGGAAAAUGGAAUUCCGGGUGUAGUGGUGAAAUGCGUAGAUAUCCGGAGGAACACCAGUGGCGAAAGCGGUUUUCUGGACCAAUUCUGACACUCAGAUGCGAAAGCUAAGGUAGCAAACG